Molecule: non-coding RNA, 21 nt
Organism: Caenorhabditis elegans
Lineage: Eukaryota; Metazoa; Nematoda; Chromadorea; Rhabditida; Rhabditidae
Source: Ensembl
UAAAACGUCAAAAUCAUUUUU